This 230-nucleotide long non-coding RNA is filed under the name Elaeis guineensis (African oil palm). Its description in RNAcentral is "long non-coding RNA (EGUI_LNC007819)". The record is from RNAcentral. Lineage: Eukaryota; Viridiplantae; Streptophyta; Magnoliopsida; Arecales; Arecaceae.
GCAUUAAAGGCUUCACUCUCCUUCUUUUUCUCUCCUUUUUCACUAUGCCCUUACCCUAAGUUCCUCCCAUCGUCCUCUUACUCCACUUUUGCCGAUACUAGCAUACGACAUCCUUUUUUCUUGCUGUGGUUACUCCAUCACCACUGAAUUAGGUCGUCUCUUUAGUUUCCUAGACCCAAACUUACUAUAUGUAGCAGCCUCCUCUUAUGUACCACUUGAAGUAAUAGUAU